Molecule: long non-coding RNA, 444 nt
Organism: Astyanax mexicanus (Mexican tetra)
Lineage: Eukaryota; Metazoa; Chordata; Actinopteri; Characiformes; Acestrorhamphidae
Exons: 2
Source: RefSeq, a predicted model, not a curated record
AUAGUGUAUUGUGGUUGUUUCAGUCCAGAUUGACUCCAUCUGUAUGAUUUACUGCAGGCUAAUACAAUUUUUAUGUCUUUUCAGGUUCCAGCUUGGUUCUCGCUUGCUUCCCCUGUGGAAACUCACGCGGGGCGGAGGCCCAUCCCACGUCUGCUGACAGCGGUUCUGAUGAACGGGGCUCAGCAGUGGAGGCUGGACAGCAGGAUCAAAGAGCCGGACACGCAUGAAUCAAACAUGGAGGGGGAGGAUGGAGGAUGAGGGAUAUGGAGAAAUCCCCUGGGUUUGACUUAACAACCGGAGAAGCACUGAGUGGAAAGCAGCCCACUGUAUGGAGAUGGAGAGCUCAAACCGUCUCCAUUCAUUUCAAUGUACAACUUUUACCAGUCCAAUAUUUUUAAUAUUUUUAUUUUUAUGCCCAAUUAAACACUAAUAUGUACUACACAA